GUCAAAGUACAUGAGUCAAAGCUUGUCCCUCCUGCUAAGAGUAAAAAGUAGAAUAUCUGUUUUCUGGAAAGACUGAGCAAGAUGUAUGCAUUAUUGCUUCAGGAGACUGUACAAUGUUGGAAUUUCAGGUUGCCUGCUAGAAGGGGAUUGAUUAUCUGGAUGGAAACACGACAUAUUUUUCUGGUUACAGAAUAUACCAAGGAAAAUGAGAGCAUCCCAAAUGAGAUAAUGUAGAGUGGUCCAAGACAUUCGACUGGGCUGUCUCCAAAACUUAUAAGAAGUGUAUGGCAAACAUCUUUUAAUUUCCUUUGAAUGAGAAGAUUAAGAGGGAAGAAACUAAACUGUGCUCUAAUGUCAAUAGUUUAAAAUGUUAUCAUGCUAAAAAUGACACAAAGGAACGAUUCAAAAGAAGUCGAUGAUUAUUCUAUAGGUAUUACUAUUAUUAUUUGAAUAGCGGUGUAAAUUGUAACAUAGGAAUUUGCAGAACUUUAAAUCUAAUUAAUGAAAAAUAAACCUUAUAUCUAAUGUAAGCUGAUACCUAAAUUUCAGCCCAAUAUAGGACAUGUUCUCAAUUUCUCACACUUACAGGCCAGUUACACUUUGUUUUAUCUCUCAUUAAAUCUUUUAUAUCAUUUUAAAACCUUAAUAAUUUUUAUGAAAAAUGUCUGGAUGAAACGAAAAUGUUAAAGUUUCAUAUGCCUUAUGCAUUAAGCAGAAAAUUUCCAAUUCAGACUUUUCUCACAGAUGUGUUUAAGUUGGCCUCUGCUCCUAGCAGGUAAAUUACCAAAUAGAGAAGCAAGUAUUAGCUUACAGGAUUUUUAAAAUUUAUUGUUAAAUUUGCAUAUAGAAAAAUUCACUUUUGUGCUGUACUUUUAUAGUAAAGAUUUACCCCUACCCCAACUCCUGGCAACACACUGUUCUUGAUCCCUGUAGUUUUGUUUUUUCCAGAGUGACACGUAAAUGGAAUCUUAUGUAAUCAUAUGUAAACUUUUGAAUGUGGCUUAUUGCCCUUAGCAUACGUAUUUGAGAUCUAUGCAUGUUGUUAUGGGUAUCAGGAGUUCAAUUACUUUUAUUACUGAGUAGUAUUCCAUUGUAUGGUUGUGCCAGUUUUACUAUCUCCCACUUGAGACACAUUUGAGUUGUUUCCAGUUUGCCACUAUUUUGAGUAAAGCUGCU
This 1176-nucleotide long non-coding RNA is filed under the name Homo sapiens (human). Its description in RNAcentral is "HSALNT0285979". Lineage: Eukaryota; Metazoa; Chordata; Mammalia; Primates; Hominidae. The record is from RNAcentral.